Molecule: ribosomal RNA, 253 nt
Filed under: uncultured bacterium
Lineage: Bacteria
Description: partial 16S ribosomal RNA
Rfam family: Bacterial small subunit ribosomal RNA
Source: RNAcentral
UACGUAGGGUGCGAGCGUUGUCCGGAAUUACUGGGCGUAAAGAGCUCGUAGGUGGUUUGUCGCGUUGUUCGUGAAAACUCACAGCUCAACUGUGGGCGUGCGGGCGAUACGGGCAGACUGGAGUACUGCAGGGGAGACUGGAAUUCCUGGUGUAGCGGUGGAAUGCGCAGAUAUCAGGAGGAACACCGGUGGCGAAGGCGGGUCUCUGGGCCGAAACUGACGCUGAGGAGCGAAAGCGUGGGGAGCAAACAGG